UACAGGGGGGGCUAGCGUUAUUCGGAAUUAUUGGGCGUAAAGGGCUCGUAGGUGGCCAACUAAGUCAUACGUGAAAUCCCUCGGCUUAACCGGGGAACUGCGUCUGAUACUGGAUGGCUUGAGGUUGGGAGAGGGAUGCGGAAUUCCAGGUGUAGCGGUGAAAUACGUAGAUAUCUGGAGGAACACCGGUGGCGAAGGCGGCAUCCUGGACCAAUUCUGACACUGAGGAGCGAAAGCCAGGGGAGCAAACGGG
Molecule: ribosomal RNA, 253 nt
Filed under: uncultured bacterium
Lineage: Bacteria
Description: partial 16S ribosomal RNA
Rfam family: Bacterial small subunit ribosomal RNA
Source: RNAcentral